This 72-nucleotide transfer RNA is filed under the name Diaphorina citri (Asian citrus psyllid). It matches the Rfam family "tRNA". Rfam says of the family: Transfer RNA (tRNA) molecules are approximately 80 nucleotides in length. Lineage: Eukaryota; Metazoa; Arthropoda; Insecta; Hemiptera; Psyllidae. The record is from Rfam by way of RNAcentral.
GCCUCGACGGUAUAGUGGUCAAAACGCUCGCUUUUAAAGCAGGAGGACGUGGGUUCAAUCCCAGCUGAGGUA